RNAcentral lists this ribosomal RNA (322 nucleotides) under uncultured eukaryote. RNAcentral's name for it is "partial 18S ribosomal RNA". It matches the Rfam family "Eukaryotic small subunit ribosomal RNA", at positions 1470 to 1796 of the family's 1831-position model. The record is from RNAcentral.
CCCUUAGAUGUUCUGGGCCGCACGCGUGCUACACUGAGUGGAUCAGCGGGUCAGGUUGCGCGAAAGCGUUUCCUAAUCUUUAAAUCCGCUCGUGAUGGGGAUUGACGGUUGCAAUUUUCUGUCAUGAACGAGGAAUACCUUGUAAGCGCGGGUCAUCAUCCCGCGCUGAAUACGUCCCUGCCCUUUGUACACACCGCCCGUCGCUCCUACCGAUUGAGUGGUCCGGUGAGGCUUUGGGAUCUGAGCGGAAAGAGCGUUUCGCUGUUUCUGCUCGGAAAACCCAGUCGAACCUUAUCAUUUAGAGGAAGGAGAAGUCGUAACA